Poecilia latipinna (sailfin molly) is the source of this 183-nucleotide long non-coding RNA. RefSeq lists it as uncharacterized. NCBI's taxonomy places the organism in Eukaryota, Metazoa, Chordata, Actinopteri, Cyprinodontiformes, Poeciliidae. The record is from RefSeq and is a predicted model, not a curated record. The transcript is spliced from 3 exons.
UCUCUGGGACUCCGUUUCCUGCGCCGGCGACGCCCGCCGGACCUCUUUCGAGGGGUCUGCCUCCUGGGUCUCCGCCCACCCUGAUGGGUGGUUUUUUGUUCUGGACUCUGGCCCUCCUUCCAUCGCCCCUCCGCCCACCCUGAUGGGUUGUUUUUUUUGUUGUUUUGAGCAGCUUUUCUCUGA